GGAAACGUGCCUGAAAGCUACGGAUCUCCUUGAUAGGGAGAAAUAUAUGGGUUCAAACCCCCUCGUUUCCU
Molecule: transfer RNA, 71 nt
Filed under: Anomaloglossus verbeeksnyderorum
Lineage: Eukaryota; Metazoa; Chordata; Amphibia; Anura; Aromobatidae
Description: tRNA-Ile
Rfam family: tRNA
About the family: Transfer RNA (tRNA) molecules are approximately 80 nucleotides in length.
Source: RNAcentral